CAAUAAUGUGAAACUUAAGCAUUGGAAUUUAUGCAUCUUUCAAUGAAUGCAUUUUGUUUUGUCUUGUGUGCAAAGACGCUACAUGUUUUUUGUUCCAGGUUUUAUUCAUAGGUUCUUGGGGUUGCCAAAUAUGGCUGCAGUUGUUACCAGACACAAGCAUUUCGGUCAAGAAUACCUCAGUACUGAGUCUAAAUAUGUUGUUCGGGAAUACACCAGCUCUGCGGCAGAAGAGGUGAAGUAUCAAUACCAAACACAGAAGAGAAUCCAGGGAGUGGUAAAGCCCUUUAAACAAUCAUUCCUUUCCUUUUCUUGACA
Sinocyclocheilus grahami is the source of this 315-nucleotide long non-coding RNA. Lineage: Eukaryota; Metazoa; Chordata; Actinopteri; Cypriniformes; Cyprinidae. The record is from Ensembl.